Molecule: ribosomal RNA, 378 nt
Filed under: Pinnularia sp. NE-P09
Lineage: Eukaryota; Bacillariophyta; Bacillariophyceae; Sellaphorales; Pinnulariaceae
Description: SSU rRNA
Rfam family: Eukaryotic small subunit ribosomal RNA
Source: RNAcentral
AUUCCAGCUCCAAUAGCGUAUAUUAAAGUUGUUGCAGUUAAAAAGCUCGUAGUUGAAUUUGUGGUGGUUUCUAUGGUCCAAAAUGUUUUGGUACUGUUGGUCACUGCCAUGGUUGGGUGGAACUUGUGAGGCAUUAGGUUGUUUUGCGGGGGAUGCCCAUCAUUUACUGUGAAAAAAUUAAAGUGUUCAAAGCAGGCUUAUGCCGUUGAAUAGAUUAGCAUGGAAUAAUGAGAUAGGACUUGGGUACUAUUUUGUUGGUUUGCGCACCAGAGUAAUGAUUAAUAGGGACAGUUGGGGGUAUUCGUAUUUCAUUGUCAGAGGUGAAAUUCUUGGAUUUUUGGAAGACGAACUAUUGCGAAAGCAUUUACCAAGGAUGUU